RNAcentral lists this ribosomal RNA (28 nucleotides) under Didymella pinodes (pea foot rot fungus). RNAcentral describes it as "partial 18S ribosomal RNA". The record is from RNAcentral. Lineage: Eukaryota; Fungi; Ascomycota; Dothideomycetes; Pleosporales; Didymellaceae.
UGUAGUGAACCUGACGGAAGGAUCAUUA